Molecule: long non-coding RNA, 1473 nt
Filed under: Mus pahari (shrew mouse)
Lineage: Eukaryota; Metazoa; Chordata; Mammalia; Rodentia; Muridae
Description: lncRNA (MGP_PahariEiJ_G0003940.1)
Source: RNAcentral
GUGAGUAAAAUAUUAUCAUGAAGCAAGGCCCAGACAAAAAGGGGCCCUAGAUGUGGUCCCAACUGAACCACCUACCUCCGAAUAAGGCCAACCGACAGACCUAAGCCUGCUCAGCAAUUCCAAAAGACUAAUGUCUGGCCAGCGGCUUAGACUUGUGUGUGUGUGUGUGUGUGUGUGUGUGUGUGUGUGUGUGUGUGUCUGUCUGUCUGUGUGUGUGUGAGAGAGAGAGAGAGAGAGAGAGAGAGAGAGAGAGAGAGAGUUAUAAGGUCUUACUUAGCAAACGGUUUUUAUUCAAAAAUACAUCCCCAGCACCUUGCUUCCAUUCUUAAACUGGGGAGGGGGAUGGAAGGUUGGGGGGACGCAGUGGAGAAAUGCUGUAUAAUCUUCCUGCUUGGUUGCCAGAGCCUUUCCUGAACGUUAAUUCUCUCCGAAUGAAAUCUCAAAGGAUUGUGCCUGUGCUAAAGUUUCUAGUAUGAGAACUGCGCAAGGUGAUAAUGCAAUUAACCUGAGUAAUACUUCAAACGUCUUGCUAAUAUAUACAUCAUGUAUAUGUAUACGCAUGUGUGUAUGUGCAUAUGUAUAUGUAUAUGAAGUAUAUGUAUGUUAUGUAUGUGUAUGUGUAUUGCCAGUUUAGAUUGUGUUCAUGAUGUGAUUUCAAAAAUUAGCCUCAGAGGUUUGUGAAUUUGCUCAAAUUAAAAGGAUAAAGAUGAUUUAAAGAUAAAUUAAAAGGAUAAAGAAGAACCGGCUGGUUCUUCUUAAUAUUUUCUAAUAUAGUUUAUCAGCAUUCUGAACGGCUACUCUGCAGCCUUUCUCUGUUCACUUCCUAGACUCUGCAGCAAAAGUCUGUGGUUAUUAUUUAAGGAUCACGGUGAUUCCCUUCACGGCAUGGGGGAAUAAAGAAAAGCAAGAGCAGGGCUAUUAUCCUGUGUUUAUAACAAGUCUGUUGCCAUAGUAACGCCUGUGAUGUCACAAAUGUUACACCCAGGGCCAGAAGCUGUCUCUGAGGGGGAGGGGCAGCUUGGCCUUGGAAAAACGGACACAAGUAUGUGAGGCCAAAGCAGGGUCAACAGCGAGGUAAUCAUGGAAACACAGGGAGCUCCCUUCACCAGAGAAAGGAAGGGGGUGGAGUAGGGCCAGAAAAGCAACUCCCUGGGCCCACAAGUGAGCUCACCCACGCUUCUUGUACGCAGCUGUGCAAAGGGAGUGGAAAUCCAAGCGAAUGUGGUACCUCUGUGUUCCCAGUCAGGAGCAUUCCACUGGGCUCACUGGCUGCCAAGAUGUGAAUGGGAUCCAGGGUCUGCCCUAGCUCACGAAACUGACGGGAACCAGCGCCUGCCCAGACAGAGCCUCUAAGGCCCCCAAGAGAUGCAAGAUACAUGGCAGCCCCACCCCCACCCCACCCCCCCACCCCCGAGAACCUAGCUGGGACAUUCCCACCAAAACUCAUCAGAUUCAGAGAGCCACAGAUUCUCA